RNAcentral lists this long non-coding RNA (311 nucleotides) under Capsicum annuum. RNAcentral describes it as "long non-coding RNA (CANN_LNC009652)". The record is from RNAcentral. Lineage: Eukaryota; Viridiplantae; Streptophyta; Magnoliopsida; Solanales; Solanaceae.
AACGAUGCCAACUUAAAUGCCUAUUUGGAAAGGUAUUUUCUACACGAUCGAUUGUUAGUAGGCAACCCCACUCUCAGAGGUUCUAGGCACGUCCCAAUUGUGGUUUCACAUGAGGCGAUGCGUAGAGGCCUGCAAUGAUUGUAUGAAAAAGCAUCAGUAUUGAAGGAGACACCAGAGACUAGUGGGUGUGGAGUCGAGCUUGCUGAUGAUAUUAGAGGUAUUUUUGACCUGGCAAAUCUGUCCUUUCAUGGGCCUGCAGUUCCGAAUGAACAGUACCAGGAGCCACUUGAGAUACGUGGAGGAGAUAGGGG